Molecule: ribozyme, 106 nt
Filed under: Aedes aegypti (yellow fever mosquito)
Lineage: Eukaryota; Metazoa; Arthropoda; Insecta; Diptera; Culicidae
Description: drz-agam-1 ribozyme
Rfam family: drz-agam-1 ribozyme
Source: Rfam by way of RNAcentral
UGCCCAGCAACUCCUAUUCCUGCCUCCUCGCGGUACUGGCCGGGGUACAAGUAACCUUAGGGAAGAUCGAACAGUGAGAACUUUGGUCGUAUGCUGACAGGGAAGG